GAUGAACGCUGGCGGCACGCUUAACACAUGCAAGUCGAACGAAGUCCAUGGAGCUUGCUCCGGAAGAUUUAGUGGCGAACGGGUGCGUAACACGUGAGAAAUCUGCCCCGGACUCUGGGAUAACAGUUGGAAACGACUGCUAAUACCGGAUGCCUUCAUUUGACCGCAUGGUUGUUUGAAGAAAGAUUUAUCGGUUUGGGAGGAUCUCGCGGCCUAUCAGCUUGUUGGAGAGGUAACGGCUCACCAAGGCAUCGACGGGUAGCUGGUCUGAGAGGAUGAUCAGCCACACUGGAACUGAGACACGGUCCAG
RNAcentral lists this ribosomal RNA (310 nucleotides) under uncultured bacterium. RNAcentral describes it as "bacterial SSU rRNA". It matches the Rfam family "Bacterial small subunit ribosomal RNA", at positions 28 to 334 of the family's 1533-position model. The record is from RNAcentral.